AUGUAUCCUUUCUCUUGUUCUCAGGAUGAAGAUCUGAAAUGGGUUGAGGAGAACAUUCCCACAACUGUUGCUGAUGUAGCCCUCCCAGUAAUGCUUGACGAAGAAGAGGAAAUUCUGAAAACCAAGAUGGAGAGAUCCAAAAUGGAAUGACCGAGUGGAGGGGUUUCACCGAGGCAGCCAUUGAUGGAGUUAAAUGAAGACCGAGUGGAGGGGUUUCACCGAGGCAGCCAUUGAUGGAGUUAAAUGAAGACCGAGUGGAGAGGUUUCACCGAGGCAGCCAUUGAUGGGAGUUAAAUGAAGGGACCCAUUAGAUCCUAUAUUUAUGUCCAACACCUUUUUAUGUUCCUUCAUUUUGAGCACCGCCAUGCAGCCGCUAAUAAACUCUACGGUUUUGCCAAAUGGCUCCCUAUUCCCUCUGUAGUGCACUACUUUUGACCAGGGCCCCAUAGGGUAGUGCACUACUUUUGACCAAGGCCCAUAGGGUAGUGCACUACUUUUGACCCAUAGGAUGCCCAUCUGGCCAUGAUGCUGUAUCCUCAGAUAGGAGUGGCAAGUCGAUGGAUAUUUUUUUUAUUUGACCUUUUUAUUUAACUAGGGCAAGUCAGUUAAAGAACAAAUUCUUACUUACAAUAACGGCCUACAAUGGGUUAACUGCCUCGUUCAGGGGCAGAAAGACAGAUUUAUACCUCGUCAACUCGGGGGGGAUUCGAUCCACGCUGCCUGCCGCCCCCAAUAUAGCCAAUAGUAUCUUCUUUCUCUUGAAGUGUGCACUUCUUUCUCUUGAAGUGUGCACUCGUUCACUACCUCCCAUACAUCUACAAGCAUUGGAUUGGUGGAGGCAUGGGCUAGUGGGGGUUUCCACCCAUUUCCUUUCAAAUCAGUGAAGGGAAGUGAAGAUGUGCACACUUUGGGAGGAAGGAGAGAUACUUGGGAUAUAGUGAGGGAGUGGGCUGGGCUGGCAGCAGCGUGACGUACUGCAUGUAUAGUAUUAUAUUUGUGACCAUGUGAAGAUUUGCAGUUUGGUAAAUCUAGGUCUGCAUCCUAAAUUGAACGCACUACUUUUGGCCUGGGCCCUGGUCAACAGUAGUGCACUACACUAUGGGGCCCUGGUCAACAGUACUGCACUACCCUAUGGGGCCCUGG
Salvelinus sp. IW2-2015 is the source of this 1143-nucleotide long non-coding RNA. RefSeq lists it as uncharacterized. Lineage: Eukaryota; Metazoa; Chordata; Actinopteri; Salmoniformes; Salmonidae. The record is from RefSeq and is a predicted model, not a curated record.